GCUUACCAUGCAAGUCGAACGAUGAAGCCCAGUAUUGCUGGGUGGAUUAGUGGCGAACGGGUGAGUAACACGUGAGUAACCUGCCCUUAACUCUGGGAUAAGCCUGGGAAACUGGGUCUAAUACCGGAUAGGAGCGUCCACCGCAUGGUGGGUGUUGGAAAGAUUUAUCGGUUUUGGAUGGACUCGCGGCCUAUCAGCUUGUUGGUGAGGUAAUGGCUCACCAAGGCGACGACGGGUAGCCGGCCUGAGAGGGUGACCGGCCACACUGGGACUGAGACACGGCCCAGACUCCUACGGGAGGCAGCAGUGGGGAAUAUUGCACAAUGGGCGCAAGCCUGAUGCAGCGACGCCGCGUGAGGGAUGACGGCCUUCGGGUUGUAAACCUCUUUCAGUAGGGAAGAAGCGAAAGUGACGGUACCUGCAGAAGAAGCACCGGCUAACUACGUGCCAGCAGCCGCGGUAAUACGUAGGGUGCGAGCGUUAUCCGGAAUUAUUGGGCGUAAAGAGCUCGUAGGCGGUUUGUCGCGUCUGUCGUGAAAGUCCGGGGCUUAACCCCGGAUCUGCGGUGGGUACGGGCAGACUAGAGUGCAGUAGGGGAGACUGGAAUUCCUGGUGUAGCGGUGGAAUGCGCAGAUAUCAGGAGGAACACCGAUGGCGAACGCAGGUCUCUGGGCUGUAACUGACGCUGAGAGCGAAAGCAUGGGGAGCGAACAGGAUUAGAUACCCUGUAGUCAAUGACGUAACGUUG
This 748-nucleotide ribosomal RNA is filed under the name Micrococcus luteus. RNAcentral describes it as "bacterial SSU rRNA". It matches the Rfam family "Bacterial small subunit ribosomal RNA", at positions 46 to 811 of the family's 1533-position model. Lineage: Bacteria; Bacillati; Actinomycetota; Actinomycetes; Micrococcales; Micrococcaceae. The record is from RNAcentral.